GAUGAACGCUGGCGGCGUGCUUAACACAUGCAAGUCGAACGGUGAACACGGAGCUCGCUCUGUGGGAUCAGUGGCGAACGGGUGAGUAACACGUGAGCAACCUGCCCCUGACUCUGGGAUAAGCGCUGGAAACGGCGUCUAAUACUGGAUACGAGUAGCGGCCGCAUGGUCAGUUACUGGAAAGAUUUUUUGGUUGGGGAUGGGCUCGCGGCCUAUCAGCUUGUUGGUGAGGUAAUGGCUCACCAAGGCGUCGACGGGUAGCCGGCCUGAGAGAGGGAGCGGCCACAGUGGGACUGAGAAACGGCCCAGACUCCUACGGGAGGCAGCAGUGGGGAAUAUUGCACAAUGGGCGAAAGCCUGAUGCAGCAACGCCGCGUGAGGGAUGACGGCCUUCGGGUUGUAAACCUCUUUUAGCAGGGAAGAAGCGAAAGUGACGGUACCUGCAGAAAAAGCGCCGGCUAACUACGUGCCGGCCGCCGCAGUAA
RNAcentral lists this ribosomal RNA (485 nucleotides) under uncultured bacterium. Its description in RNAcentral is "partial 16S ribosomal RNA". It matches the Rfam family "Bacterial small subunit ribosomal RNA", at positions 28 to 523 of the family's 1533-position model. The record is from RNAcentral.